Non-coding RNA from Cinara cedri, 867 nucleotides. Lineage: Eukaryota; Metazoa; Arthropoda; Insecta; Hemiptera; Aphididae. The record is from the annotation of a GenBank genome assembly.
AUUUAUUCAUUUUUUUCCAACCGUGCACACGUUCGCAGAUUUUCCAUUUUGGGUCCCGGUGUCUGUAUAGGUCCGGAACGGUUUUCCGAAAAAUUCUUACUCUCCGAACAGUGGUGGGCAAAACGAAAAUCACAAAUUAAAUACUUAUACGGCCGCGCGAUUAGAAACGCAUGUUAGUUGAAAAUCGACGUAUUGUCGAUCACGACUCGAUGGUGUACCUCGGUUAAUUUCUGUGAUUUUUUUUUUUUUUUUUAUGUGGUUUUUCCCAUUAUUGAGAAACCUGAAGAUCAAAAACGACUCCCUUGCACACCGACUAGACAACAUUUUCAACAAAUUUCUAUAGAUAUGAAUUGAAUUCCCCUCUAUAAUAUAUUAUUCUACCUUUCCGACUUUUCACCAACAACAGUGACCCACCGUAUAAUAAUACAAUACAGUAAAACCAAUGUAGCCGAGUUCGCCGAGUUCGGAAUCCGAUACGCGUCAAACGAAUUUGUUUUUGGAAUUUAUCGUCAACUUACCCCCAUCGUCGUGGAUAAAUUAAAACUUUGUUUUCGUCGACGAGGGUGCCGGACUGCCGCGGUGAGUUUGUGUACAACUGCUAUAGGGUGAGCGAAACGGACACCACGUGAAAUAUUAACGGCUGGGUCGAUUGGUUUCGAAAAUUCAUUACUACCUAAAUAAUACCAUACGUGCACAGGUACACUCGGCACGGUGGCGACUCCGUGAUAAUAAUAAUAAAUAAUAAAACUAACGCCGACGGCACGGCGGUCAUUAAUUAUCGUCCAACACAAUGGAAAACUAUUCGAUUUCCUCUGCCCUUUGCGCAUUUGUUUGUUUGUAGCUUUUUGUCAGACGAGUGUAAGCAAA